GAUGAACGCUGGCGGCGUGCCUAAUACAUGCAAGUCGAGCGAACGGACGAGAAGCUUGCUUCUCUGAUGUUAGCGGCGGACGGGUGAGUAACACGUGGAUAACCUACCUAUAAGACUGGGAUAACUUCGGGAAACCGUAGCUAAUACCGGAUAAUAUUUUGAACCGCAUGGUUCAAAAGUGAAAGACGGUCUUGCUGUCACUUAUAGAUGGAUCCGCGCUGCAUUAGCUAGUUGGUAAGGUAACGGCUUACCAAGGCAACGAUGCAUAGCCGACCUGAGAGCGUGGUCGGCCACACUGGAACUGAGACACGGUCCAGACUCCUACGGGAGGCAGCAGUAGGGAAUCUUCCGCAAUGGGCGAAAGCCUGACGGAGCAACGCCGCGUGAGUGAUGAAGGUCUUCGGAUCGUAAAACUCUGUUAUUAGGGAAGAACAUAUGUGUAAGUAACUGUGCACAUCUUGACGGUACCUAAUCAGAAAGCCACGGCUAACUACGUG
This 497-nucleotide ribosomal RNA is filed under the name uncultured bacterium. Its description in RNAcentral is "partial 16S ribosomal RNA". It matches the Rfam family "Bacterial small subunit ribosomal RNA", at positions 28 to 507 of the family's 1533-position model. The record is from RNAcentral.